GACAAUAGACUAAUCUUCCCCAAGAGCUCACAUUGACUGGAAGGUUUGGCACCUUGAUGUCGGCUCUUCGCCACCUGAGGCUGUAGUAUGUUGUUCCAAGGGUUGGGCUGUCCACUUAAUCAUUACUUAGAAUUUUAGACAAAACCAGUGGCGUUU
This 156-nucleotide ribosomal RNA is filed under the name Olea europaea subsp. europaea. RNAcentral's name for it is "LSU_rRNA_bacteria". Lineage: Eukaryota; Viridiplantae; Streptophyta; Magnoliopsida; Lamiales; Oleaceae. The record is from RNAcentral.